UUACCUUCCUGACAGGGAGGACAUGAUAGUGGUGGUGGUUUUUCCCAGGGCGAGGAUCGCUCAUUGCACUAGGGAUGUGAUUUCCACAAAUGUGGGAAACUCAGGUGCGUAACUUGUGUUAGUGAAGGACUGUAUUCACACUCCCCUCUA
Molecule: small nuclear RNA, 150 nt
Filed under: Mus caroli (Ryukyu mouse)
Lineage: Eukaryota; Metazoa; Chordata; Mammalia; Rodentia; Muridae
Description: predicted gene, 22826 (MGP_CAROLIEiJ_G0035238.1)
Rfam family: U1 spliceosomal RNA
About the family: U1 is a small nuclear RNA (snRNA) component of the spliceosome (involved in pre-mRNA splicing). Its 5' end forms complementary base pairs with the 5' splice junction, thus defining the 5' donor site of an intron. There are significant differences in sequence and secondary structure between metazoan and yeast U1 snRNAs, the latter being much longer (568 nucleotides as compared to 164 nucleotides in human).
Source: RNAcentral